UUGAUGUUCUGAAUUUGGGAUGUGGCUUAUCUGGGUAAUUUGGGUUGUCUCAGAAUUUUAGUGUAAAGGCAGUGCAUCUUACUUGUAUCUGUUUUUCUUUUCUUGGGUUUUAGAUGAUUCUAUCUUUCCAUUGUAUGUCAGAGAUACUGGCCCUCGUACUUGAAUCUGUUCUUUAUGUUAUGCAUGCGCAAACUUCUUUUUUCUCAAGGCAUAUCGUCAUGGGCUUUGUUCUUAUUACUCUUGGUGGGGCUUGUUAGAAAUAAAUACAUAGUUACUUAGUUAAAGCGGAGGCUUUGAUAUGAUGCAAAUGAAGCUGUCACCAGCUGAAGAACAGGAAAACCGUGGCUGAAGAGAGUAGUACCCUUAGCUUGCAUUGUUGUACCUAGCCGUUAAAUCUGUUAAGUAACUGUAGUUUCUAUUUAUGGUUAAGUUCUUUUUUUAUUUUGGGUCCCUAAGUUAAUUUAAAUACACAUUAGGAAUCCACAAUUGUUCAAGGGUCCCUUUCUAGUCCAAGGAACAUUCCUGCAUAGGUAGUACAAUUUCAGCCUUAUCCCUUAAGGAUUAGGAUGAGUCAUCUAGGGUUGAAAUACUAUAAAUUGUAAUGAGUCGUUUCCAUUUUUACUAUCAUAUAUGAAAAAUAUCUUAGCCGUAAUUAGUUCUUAGCUUAGUUCUCAGUCUGCAAUUUACCUGGCUAUUAUUCCACUGGAACACUGUCCCAUUACCUCUUGUUAAUUGUUCUGCAACACUUCCACAAGCAUAUAGUUCUCUGGGCAGUGCAAUGGGGUAUAGGUCCUUGGUUUCUAGUUUGUCGAGUUGAUAUGGUAGACAUUUGCGACUCUUACUAGUGCUUUUCAGUAGUUAGACAAUGUCUAAUUGCCUGUAAAUAAUAUAUGUCGGUAAUAUGUCGCAGCGAUCCCACCUAGGGUUAUAGAUUAGGAUAUCAUCAGAACCCCUCAAUUUAACCCUCUUAAGGUUCAAAUACCUGGUUCAUGGGGCCUUGAAAGGUGAGAGGGAAACUUUUGGCCAGAGAGCGUUAAUGUGAAAUCACACUGUCUUUGACUCCUUGGUGUGUCCUAAGAGCAAUUUUAGGUAUUCUGAAGUUCACGAACAAGAUAGCUCUUUCUUAUCGGAUGGUAGCUCACAAUCCCUGAAACUGGGAUAAAUAUAUGUCCUCUAAAAUUUAAUAAGUAUAUCCCCUGUUAUGACAUUUCUUAUGUGAAAGAGUUGAUGCCAAAAUUAGAUCUUUCAAGGAAAGAAGAGCUAGAGAGGCAUGCCCUCCACUUGGUAGGCACUUGUUUUAUUUGGUUCCACCUCCAGUUGAUUAUAAGAUAUCAAUAAGGUGGCCAACUAGCAGGGAUUAUGUAUGGCGAAGAAAUAUAAACCAUACACAUCUUGCGGAGGUUAAAGGAGGACAAAAUUGGGUACAUAAGAAGGUUCAACUUUGGUGGCUUUUGGGUGGUGGAACUCAUUAUAAGUAUGGAGCUACUGAAUAUAUUGAGAGGAAAUAUGACUACUAACGAGAUAAGUGGCCUACGUGCAGCAGGGGUAUAUCAAGUGUUUGAUGUUGGUUGUAGGGUGGGUAGUUUCUCUGCUUAGCUUCUUCCACUUAAUAUAGAAACACUGUCUUUUGCUCCUAAAGAUGGUCAUGAAAAUCAAAUUCAGUUUGCUUUGGAACGAGGAAUUGGUGUUAUGAUAUCCGCUAAAGCGACGAAAUAGCUACCAUAUCCAAGUAACUCUUUUGACAUGGUCCAUUGUUCAAGAUGUUGAGUUGAUUGGCAUGGUAAUGAUCACGGUGAAUGAUCGAAUGGAGUCUAAAGGUGGAAAGAAGACUAGUAGUAAAUCCUCACUCUACGAAGCACCCCUCGGCUACAGUAUUGAAGACGUUCAACCAAACGGUGGAAUCAAUAAGUUCAAAUUUGCCUCUUACUACAACUAUUAGUCAGAUCAAGUUCCUGAAAGGUGGUUGUUUGAAAAAUCUAAUGUUUCCAAGUUGAACCAACUGAUUAUGCUUGAAAGGAAUUUCACCCUCCAAUUCGUUGUCAAACAAGUUUUAAGUACUUCAAACUUGAGAGAUGGCUCAGCUCAACAGGAAUUGAACCAGAAAAGCUGUUGUUUGCAAGGUUCAAGAUUUCAAGUGAUUCGAGCUGACCAAUUGAUGCAGGAAUCUGUCCCCCAAUCUUGUUAUUUGAUGCUGCAAAAUUUUGAAGAUAUUUGCAGCCGCCAAUUGCUUCUGGUAUGGGGCCAUUAAGACUGUUUUGCUGUAAGAAAGAUUUGAGUCUCACAAUAUGAGAUUUAUCAUCUGAACAUGCCACUCCAUUCCAGGUACAUAUGCUAGACCCACUUCAUCCCAAAAGGACAUCUUAUAAGUAGUUUCGUUGAUCUAGUUGAUGCUUGUAUUUUCUCCUUUUUUGUGAAUCAAACAAUGACAAUUGAAAGGAAGCGAAUACUUUUUUCAUAUUCAUCUCAUAGUUGGACUUAGUUUUCAACUCUGUGUACUUGUUUUAUCCAUUGGCUAAGACAGUUAUCCAUU
Capsicum annuum is the source of this 2530-nucleotide long non-coding RNA. RefSeq lists it as uncharacterized. Lineage: Eukaryota; Viridiplantae; Streptophyta; Magnoliopsida; Solanales; Solanaceae. The transcript has 5 exons. The record is from RefSeq and is a predicted model, not a curated record.